RNAcentral lists this long non-coding RNA (287 nucleotides) under Physcomitrium patens. RNAcentral describes it as "long non-coding RNA (PPAT_LNC010138)". The record is from RNAcentral. Lineage: Eukaryota; Viridiplantae; Streptophyta; Bryopsida; Funariales; Funariaceae.
UUGAUUUAGGAUUUAGGAUUUUAUUAGGAUUUGAUUUAGGAUUUAGGAUUUUAUUAGGAUUUGAUUUAGAAUUAGGAUUUAGUUAAGGUUUGAUUUAGAGUUUAGAAUUUGUUUAGGAUUUGAUUUAGGAUUAGGAUUUGAUUUAGGAUUAGAAUUUGGUUAAGAUUUUUUUAGAGUUAGGAUUUUGUUUUUGUAAUUUCCAUUCUACCUUCUAUAGUGAGGUUACCUAGAGCAUUUUUAAGCAAUACUUCAUUUAUUAUGACAAUGGACUUAAGAAUGAUUCAAAA